CCAACUUCUGUAUUAAAAGUUCACAUUUUACAAUCUAUACUAUUAAAGCAGAAUACCUACUAGGAUUCUGCCCUUACCUUUUCAAGUUAUUUACAAGUCUCUGCCAUUGCCUUUUUUCCUUUUAAAAAAUUAAAUGUCGACAGUUAUUUUAAACAAAUCUCAAGCCUUCGAUUUUUAAAACAUAUUCAAAUCGUUUUUAAGCCCAUUUACGAUUAAAUCUAGGCUUUUUUAAAGAAAAUCCAAACAUGAAUGAAUGUUCAGUCCAUCAAAACUAUCUUCAUGAUGAAACACCCUAUACCAUUGAAACCCCACCGACAUCAUCUUCUUUUUACUGGCAAACCCUAUGCCCUGAAAUGAAAACACUAACCAAGAUGAAUCAAUGUUCAUAAUAAUAAUAAGCUUAUUUAAAUUAUAUUUACAUACAACAUGAAACCUACAUAUAUGUUGUCUCCUUUCCAAAAUGCAAUAUAUAAUGGUCGACACUUUAAUCAAACAAAAUAAUUAAAAUAUAUUUGACCACAACUUAGUAUGGUAUGUUUCAAAAAAUUUAUAACAAUAUUUAUUUACAAAUAUAAUUAUUUUUCAACUAAUCCCCUAAUUUUCAUAAUCAAUUAAAAGCAGAAAAUUAAAUUAGAAUGCCAAAUCCAUUCCAAGUAUAUUCUUUAGCUCAUUCCAUGAUUUCCUCUUCCUAAAAUCACGCUUUAAAGAAUUACAUAUACUCAUAUUGCUUGUGCAAUACCCACAGAAUAUCUUUGGAUUUCGAAUUAGGGGACUGAACCUUCCUAAUAUUUACAAUUAUUCAUAUCGAAAUCAAAACCAUAAAAUCUUGAGAGAUACGAUCUAGAGUAUGCAUCAAAUAUAGAAAACGAAUAUAUGCUUAAGCUACAUUCACGGUUUAAAAAAAACAAGCAGAGAUCGUAUUACUAUAUAAUACUCACAUAAUAUCUUUGGUUUCAAAUUGGUAACUGAAUUUACUACUAUUAAAUACUACUAGAAAAUCUUGCCAAUAUUUAGAGUAUUCACCAAGUUUUCCUCAAAACCUAAACAACUCUCCCCAUCGCCACUUCCUUAUAUAAAUAACGACGCUUCUUCCUAAACAAACUCAUACCAUCAAACAAACAAAUGGCUUCUAAAAAGCAAAUCAAAACAUCUAUUGUUUCUAAUGAACAAGCCAUCCCCAUCAACAACUUGAAGCCAGUGCACACCGCUAAGAUGGUUCAUGCGAAGGUUCUACAUUCUUGGAAACAAAACAUUCAACUAGGGGGGGAAACCAUGGAAUUCGUUUUGGCUGAUGAGAAUGUAAGCAAUCCUAAAUUAUUCCCUUAACGUUUUUAUUAGAAUGUUAUUAUUCUAAAUGAUGUUAAUAUUCUAAAUGUAUUUGGAACAUGUACAAGGGGCAUAAAAUUCAUGCAACCUGCAAAAAAACUUACAUUGAGAGUAAAGGAAGCCUUCUUCCGGUUGGAGCAUGGCGCUACAUCCGAAACUUCCAUGUUAGGCCUGCAGGAGGAGCUUAUCGCACAACAAACCAUGCCUACAAGAUUGUUUUUAAUCCAAAUACAAAUGUUACUCGGUCAAAUUUCAUGAAUGACGAGUUGUAUCUUAAUUUGGUCGAUUUCCAGUUAAUUUUAUCUGGCACACUUGAUGACAAGCUCUUAAUUGGUAAAUAUAUAAGCUAUAGAUUUCUAAAAUAUUUUUUUGUGCUUGCUAUUACUAAUAUCUUUUGCAAUGUUUUUUAAAACAGAUGAGCUUGGCCAAGUGUUGGAUUGUGGUGAUGUCGAAACCAUUCAGUGUUCUGGGGGUAACCAGCGUAAAAAACUGGAAUUCAUCCUAAGAGACAUCAAGUAAGUUUGCUGUCACAUGAAAAACUAUUCAAGACAUUAUUUUGGUCGAAUAUUGUUACAACUAACCUCGCUUUUUGACUGGCGCCACCCCAUAGUGAUUCAAGAAUACCAUGCUGCAUUUGGGGAAACUUAACCGAUAUUCUCCAUUCUGCCUGCAACCAAGACGAUGGAAUGGUUACAUUGCUUUUGAGGUUUGCUAAACUUGGAAAGUUUAGAGGUACAUAUUUAGCGUAAACAAAAUAUAUAUAUUCUAAAUAAGACUAUCUUACAUAUACACUGCUGGAUUAUUAAAAUGACAGGAGAACUACAAAUCUCUAAUUCCUUUGAUGCCUCUCGAAUGAUCAUUAACCCGGCAAUACCAGAGGCUGAAGCAUUUAAAGAUAUGUAAGGCCAUAAUCCAUUGCUUAUUUUACAGUAGUUAUUUGCCUAUCAUACUGAUUAUUUGGGAAAAUUUUCAUGGUUAUCAGCGACAAUGGGGAUGACACAACUCUAAUUACAUUUGAAAGUAAUGAGGAGAGUCAAGAGGACAACAACAAGCAAGUAAAUCAUCCAGGCAAGCGAGGACAGCGUGAUAAGUGGUUGAUAUUCCCCACUAAGACCAUCCAAGAAAUGGUAGCGUCAACUCAAGUAAGCAUUUUAAGUCCUUUAUCUUACAUUGUGUAUCUCGUGUGGGUGGUUAACUAUUUUUUUUUUGAUUUUGUUUAGGUUGAUAAAUGUUUAGUCACUUGCAUAGUCUAUGCAAUUGAUAUGGAUUGGUCCUGGUAUUACUUUGGUUGUGAUGCAUGCCAAAAAAGGGUGAUCAAAACCGGAACCAACAUUAAGAUAGUAAAAGGAACUGAAAUAACCACUCAUAUUUGGUGGUGUGAGACAUGCAACGACACUGUGUUCAAAGUUUCACCAAGGUAUGAUUGUGCAAAUUUAAGAAAAAACAUGCAUACGUAACAACUUAGAGUGAUGUUUAGCAGUUAAAACUGUAACUUAUGGCUGUCUAAUCUAUAGGUUUUGGCUUCACUUGAUGGUCAAAGAUGAUACCGGUGUGUCAAAAAUAAUGAUUCUGGACAAGGUGGCUAAUGGGAUUGUUCCUGAAUCUCCUCUCAAAUUGUUGAAUGGAAGCUGGGAUGAGGUAUUUUUUAAGCAAAUAUGGCAAUUAAUUUGCGUCAUCUUACUGACAAUAGAACACUAAAUCUAUGCAAUCUAUUUGGCAGCUUGAAGACCCAAGCUUAAUACCAGAUGCUAUUACUGAUUUGAUUGGAAAAAGUUUCACAUUUGGAGUCUAUGUUGAGAAGGAUAAUGUAUCUUAUGGUGCUGAGAUAUUCAAAGUUGGAAAAGUCUACAAAGACAGAAUGAUUUGCUUAACUGGUGGAAUCACAUCCAGUCACUCUGAAAAGCCGUUGACAAUUACAAGUGGUGAUGAGGUACCAUUGUCUAAUCUAUGGUUAUAUUAAGUUUUUUUUUUUGAGAUUUUCUGUCUUAACAUGACUAUCAAUGUAAUUUUUUACAGGGUUCAGUUUAUUUCACUGAUAGUCAAGAACUUAACGACUCCGUGACCACACCAUCCAGUAAGAGAAAAGAAGAUGAUUCUAUUUCUCUGCCUGACAUCAGUUCAACAUCAAAGAAACCAUGCUUAAUGACAGUAAAAAUUGAGAAGGCGGAAGAAGCUGCUAAGAAACUUGGCUAAUUUGGAAGCAGACUGCUUUGAUGUUUUCCAGUAUUUUGGUUUUUGUUUUUCCUAUUUACGUUGUUGGGUUUUUGCUUCUUUCGAAACUUAUGUUUGAUUUGUGUUUUUUUCAAUAAGUCUAUUUAGACUAAUGCAUUGUUAAGUUUUCUUUGAUUUCUGUUUUUUUCCUAUCAAAACAAAAUAAUCUGCUUAAUUGAUAGUUCGUUUCUUAUAAGCAAGUCCUGGAAACAAAAUAAUCUAUUUACUUAACGUAUAGAUUAUUUACUACUGACGCAGUGUCCACACCAUCCAGUAAGAGAAAAGAAGACAAGAAUAUUUCUCUCCCUGACAUCAAUUCAACAUCCAAUGCACAAUGACAAUCAAAAUUAACAAGGUGGAAGAGGAAAAUAAGAAACGUUAAAGUUGGAAGAAGACAUCUCGUGUCGUUUUGAGCUUUUAAAAUUUAUGUUAUUCUAUUUAUUAAGACUUCAUUAUACAAUCAAAUGUUUUGACCCUAUUCUUUUAAGACUAAUCAAAUGUAACUAUAGCAAGUGUAAUAUUUUGAACAUAUUCUUUUAAGACUAAUCAAAUGUUUUAUUAGAUACUGCAAGAUUUAGUUGUCGUUUGAAUGUAUAUUCUGACCAUAUACUUUAAGACUACUCAACAAUUUGAUUAGAUACCAAUAUAUUUAGUUGUCGUUUUUGUUCCUAUAUUUUCUGGCAAAAUCUAGAUUUAAAAACCUACACAAAAAACUGAUGAACGCGAUUGCUAAUUACGUUUAGAAUUUCAAUGACACAGAAAAACGAAGAGGUCCCUCCAGGAUCACAUGAUUUGAUAUCAUCCCAACAGAGAAAAAGAAAGAGAAGAGCAGACAACAAUGAAUCCGAGAAUACACAGCCGUGUGGUGAAGCUUCGAACAACAUUUCAACUUCUGUGCCUCUUAGGAAAGCUUUUACGAGGGUUCUAAAUGAUAUCUCCAAUAUUCCUACUAAUUUGCGAUUCUCGACAGUUUCUAUUGGGACAAACCCUACUAAUGGUUUAGACCUUCCACAAAACAUCAAAUGUUUUAGAUAAAUUUUGAAGCUUAACCUCACUACUGCAAAAUUAUGUUUUUUUUUUCAGAUAGUGGAAAUGUAAAGGAUCAGAAAGCUUUAGCAAAAAGAUUAAAGAGCAAUUCAUAUAAGUUUAUGUGUAAGUGUACUUAACUCCAGAACAUUUUCUUAGUUGUUUGUAAUAGUUUUGAAUGACUCAAUGUUAUGUUUAUGAAAACAGCACAAUCAAGCAAUCAAACUACUGUCAGCAACAUCGUUGGAGGAUCUAACAACAAUAAAGAAACUGUUAAGAGAAAGAGAUCUACAAGCAUAGAUGUCACUGAACAUACACCAUCUUCUUAUUCCAGUAAGAAAAAAUGUUCCAAACCAGGUGUUCUAGCUGAUAUUACCAACACCUUGCCUUCAAUGCUUGGCACACCUUCUACAAGUGGUUCAUGUAUCUCCAAGAUAUCUACUAAGGGUAUAUAGUGUAAAUCUGAAAUUUUGAUUUUGAUUUGAUUUCUCAGAGUUUGUUCUUUUUUCCUAACGUCUGUUGGCUCAAUCACAUAAAGGGAAAGAUAAGGUUGUUGCUGAAGAUAACAAGUUAAAGAGUAAUACUAGAACCAAGAAGUGUAGAAAAACAUUGGAACAACAAUUUGAUGGUUGUGUAGAUGAUUAUUCGUCAUGUGAGGAUGAUGAGGACCAAGCAUUCCAAUGUGACUAUGAAGGUAUAAACGUUUUAAUGGUACCCCUAAGUUCCACUGAUUAUAUAUUUAUAAAAAUGUGGAUAUAAACCAAUUAUAUUAAAACAACUUUUUUUGUCUACAGAAGAAUCUGAAUUAUACAAAGAACAAGUUUAUGAUUGCAGUAGCGAAGAAAGUGACACAAGUGACAAUGAAACCAUAAACUGCAACCCUAUAUCUAAAGAUUCAAAUGCCAAUCAAAGAUCACCUGAUGUCUUAUCAAAAGAAGGGAAUCAAGAAAUUAAUACACAGCGUACUUCUUCCUGUGCCAAGAUGGUGAAGAGAACUUCUUCGUCUGCCCAGAUGAUGAAACCUACUUCUUCUAGAAAAUCUCGUGGUAAUCAGUUAUUUUUAUCAAGACAGUCAAAUUAUUCAUUUACCUUUUCGUUACAUUCAGCUCGUGAUUUUAUUCUUUUAAAUACAGGUUACAUUGAUGACGGUGAUCCAACUUACAAAUGUGAACAUUGUGGGGCUAUAAUGUGGUAUGGUGAAAGGAUCAACAACAAAAAACAUACACGCAAACCUAAAUUUGCUCUUUGUUGUGGUCAAGGACAAGUCCAGCUUCCGUUGUUAAAGGAUUCACCAGCUAUAUUGAAACAAUUACUCCAUGGCAGUGAUGAACAGAGUAGAUAUUUUCGUGACAAUAUCCGAGCUAUAAAUAUGGUUUUCUCAUUUACAUCCCUUGGGGGAAAAUUCGAUCACUCAGCUCCAAAAGGCUCUGGCCCAAAAAUGAUUGUACUUCAAGGAGAAAACUAUCAUUUAAUGGGUAGUUUGAAGCCUCCAGCAGGAGACCCUGCUAAGUUUGGGCAACUAUAUAUUGUAGACACAGAAAAUGAAGUUACCAACCGUGCUUCUAUAAUUGGGUAUUCUGGUUUCCCCUAAUUUAUAUAUAUUUGGAAUUCAUAUGAUUGUGUGUAUAUUAAGAACUGUGCUUUUGUUUUUGCAGAAAGUACAAAAAAUCCGCAGAAAAAGCUAAAAAGGAGUCGAUUCGGAAUCAAGUUAUCCAGUCUUUAAUGACAAUGCUUAACGAGGUCAAUCCAUAUGUCCAUCAGUUUAGAUCAGCAAAGGAUAGAUUUGAGACUAAUCCCCAAGAAACAUUCCAUAUGCGCAUUAUUAGCAGUCGUGCAAAAGAUGGAAGGACGUAUGACACUCCUACAGCAUCUGAGGUUGCUGCAUUAAUUCCAGGAGAUUUCAAUUUGGACAUGGAUAAAAGAGAUAUUGUUUUGCAAGAGAAACAAACUGGCUGGCUAAAGCGGAUAAGUGAGAUUCACCCUUCUUACUUGGCACUUCAAUAUCCUCUGAUAUUUACUUAUGGUGAAGAUGGGUUCAGACUUGGGAUUAAAAAAAAAGAGACAGAGGCUACAGCUAAACUAAAGAGGCAGACUAUUAGUAUGAGGCAGUGGUAUGCAUUCCGUCUACAGGAAAGAGAGAAUGAGUGUCAUACACUACUGCAUUCAAAGCGAUUGUUUCAGCAAUUUUUGGUCGAUUCUUAUACUUCCAUAGAGUCUAACAGGCUGUGUUAUCUACGGAUGAACCAAAAAAGCCUUAGAUCGGAUAGCUAUGACUCUAUACAACAAUCACGAAACGCAGGAAAAGAAGAUAUGCAUGACCAAGGAAGUCGAUUUUUGCUACCAGCCUCAUUCACAGGAGGACCAAGAUACAUGAAGAACAACUAUCUUGAUGCAAUGGCUAUAUGCAAAUAUUUUGGGUUUCCUGAUUUGUUUAUAACAUUCACCUGCAAUCCGAAAUGGCCAGAAAUCACCAGAUAUCUACAACAACGCUGCCUCACUGCUGAUGAUAGACCCGAUAUUAUUGGAAGGAUUUUCAAAAUCAAGCUUGAUUCUCUGAUGAUUGAUUUAACAGACAAAGAGCUUCUAGGGAAGACCGUCUCUUGUGAGUUAUUAUGUGUUUAGUUGUUCUUUUAUCUAUUAACGUUUUCUUAAACUGUAACUAAUUUAUCUCUUCCAUUUCUCAAUUUCAGCAAUGUACACUGUGGAGUGGCAGAAACGUGGCCUACCUCAUGCUCAUAUUCUCUUAUUCAUGCAUCCUAAUUCCAAAUUUCCAACCACUGAUGACAUUGACAAGGUUAUCUCUGCUGAAAUUCCAGAUAAAGACAAAGAGCCAGAGCUUUAUGAUAUUAUCAAAGAUAUGAUGAUUCAUGGUCCUUGUGGAGCUGUAAACAUGAAAUCACCAUGCAUGGAAAAUGGUUUGUGUUCUAAACUGUAUCCUAAGGCUUAUGCAGAUGUAACUACUGUCAACAAAGAAGGGUUUCCUGUUUAUAGAAGACGAGAACAGACAAAUAGAUUUGUUGAGAAAAACGGCUUCAAGUGUGACAACAGAUAUGUGAUACCAUACAACAAGGAAUUGUCUCUUCGUUUUCGAGCUCACAUCAAUGUGGAAUGGUGCAAUCAAUCAGGUUCUAUAAAAUACUUAUUCAAGUAUAUUAACAAAGGCCAGGAUCGUGCCACUAUUGUUGUUGAGCCCCCUGAUAAAGAAGCACCAGACCAGAACACUUCAAGAAAUGGAGAGUUGAACGAAAAGAAAAAAAAAUGAAAUCAAGGACUUCUUCAACUGCAGGUAUUUUUUUCUACAGAAAUAAGGUCUAUUGUCGAUUUUGAAAAACUAAUGCGUCAUUUCCUUUGAAUGAAACUGGUGUUGAUAUUGAUCCUUAUCUCUGUGUUAUCUGCCAUUUUUUCAGAUAUGUCUCAGCCUGUGAAGGUGGUUGGAGGAUUUUUACGUUUCCUAUUCACUAUAGAUCAACACCCGUUGAGAGAUUGCAGUUUCAUCUACCAGGAAAACAAAUCAUUAUCUUCAAAGAUGAUGACACAUAUGAAAAAGUUACCAGCAGGAAGCUUAUUGAAAACACUAUGUUUUUGGGCUGGUUUGAAUUGAACAAGGUCAGUGCAGUAGCUCGGGCUCUGACUUUAGCUGAAAUUCCAACAAGGUUUUGUUGGAAUAAGAAAGAAAAAAAGUUUCAUGAUAGGAAGAAAGGAUUCAGUAUUGGGAGAAUCAACUAUGCCCCACGUGACAUUGAAGAAGCGUUCUACAUGCGUGUAUUGCUUAACAUUGUGAGAGGUCCAACGUGUUUUGAAGACAUUAAAACGUUUCAAGAGGUUCUUCAUCCUUCAUACAAGGAGACAUGUUUUGCAAGGGGACUGUUAGAAGAUGAUCAGGAAUAUAUACACGAUCUCGUGAGAGCAAGUUUCACUGGUUCUGCAUGUUAUAUACGUCAAGCUUUUGUUAUCAUGCUCAUGUCUAAUACUUUGUCAAAACCAGAAGUCGUUUGGGAACAGACUUGGGAGUUCCUUUCUGAAGACAUUGAGCAUACGAGAAGGAAGCUAUUACAUAGACCAGGUACAAUACUGGUUCCUCAAUUUGCUUAAUAUUUUAUAUUUUCUCUCAAGAUAUUUAGGGAAUAUAGUAUGAAUUGUUAGUAGCUGAUUUUUUUUUGGUUUUAUGAAGAUCUUUGCUUGAGUGAUGCGGAAAAAAAACAAUAUGCGCUUACAGAGAUUGAGAAGCUUCUAAAGAGUAAUGGAACUUCUUUGGAGAAGUUCAAAAAUAUGCCUAAACCACUACCAGAUAUAGUUAAUAAUAACGUUUUGAUCAUGGAUGAGCUCAGUUACGACCGGCAGGAAUUAGAAGCUGAUCUUCAGCGUGACACUCCAAAACUUACGGAUGAGCAAAAGAAGAUUUUUGAUGAAAUUACUGAUGCUGUUAUAACGAAAAAAGGAGGCGUCUUUUUUGUCUAUGGAUUUGGUGGUACAGGCAAAACUUUCUUAUGGAGAUUGCUUUCUGCAGCAGUACGUGUCAGGGGCGAAGUAUGUCUGAAUGUUGCCUCAAGUGGUAUAGCUUCCCUAUUGCUACAGGGAGGAAGGACUGCACAUUCUCGAUUUGGAAUUCCUAUAAAUCCAGAUGAAUUCUCCACUUGCACACUUACAAAAGGAACUGAUAAAGCAGAGCUGGUGAAAGCAGCGUCCCUUAUAAUUUGGGAUGAAGCUCCAAUGAUGAGUAAACACUGUUUUGAAUCAUUGGAUAGGAGUAUGUUGGACAUUGUUGGAGACAAUGAUAAGAGACCUUUUGGUGGCAAAGUUGUCGUAUUUGGUGGAGACUUUAGACAAGUAUUGCCUGUCAUUCAUGGAGCUGGAAGGGCUGAGAUUGUUAUGGCUGCUCUUAAUUCAUCUUAUCUUUGGAAGCAGGUAAAAGUUUUGCAAUUAACCAAGAAUAUGCGGCUGCUGUCAAAUAAUCUAUCUACCGAAGAGGCAAAAGAAUUGCAAGAUUUUUCACAAUGGAUAUUAGACAUUGGAGAUGGAAAGAUUGGUGAUGGAAAUGAUGGGGAAGCUCUUAUCGACAUUCCAGAAGAGUUCUUAAUUCUUGAUGCUGAUGAUCCAGUAGAAGCUAUAAGCGCAGCAGUGUAUGGAGAUGCUACUUCUUUACAGCAGAAGGACCCAAAGUUUUUUCAAGAGAGAGCUAUACUUUGUCCUACUAACGAGGAUGUGAACAUGAUUAAUCAACAUAUGCUGGAUAAGCUUGAUGGUUAGUUACGAUUCCUUAAACUUUACAUGAAUUAUUUUGUUAGAUGUUUGGUUUUUGGUCACUAGAGUAACACUUUACUGUUUUAAUGCAGGAGAGGAAAGAAUAUACUUAAGCUCUGAUUCUAUCGACGCUUCUGAUAAGUUUUCUGUUAAUGACCAAGCUCUCACUCCAGAUUUCUUAAACAGAAUUAAAGCAUCAGGAUUGCCAAAUCAUAGUCUGCGACUGAAAGUUGGUUGUCCAGUGAUGUUGCUAAGAAACAUAGAUCCUACUGGGGGAUUGAUGAAUGGAACGCGACUUCAGAUUACAGAAAUGUAUGACUUCAUGAUAAAGGCCAAAGUUAUUACAGGGGAAAAGGUUGGUCGAACUGUGUUAAUUCCUAGGCUUUCAAUAACUCCUUCAGAUAAAAAGAUGCCAUUCAAGAUGAGGAGGAGACAACUGCCUAUUGGUGUGGCAUUUGCUAUUACCAUCAACAAAAGUCAAGGCCAAACUUUGUCUGAAGUUGGUAUUUAUCUACCAAGGCCUGUUUUCUCUCAUGGACAACUAUAUGUGGCUGUUUCCAGAGUCACUUCUAAGAAAGGCUUGAAGAUAUUGAUUGUUGACAGCGAAGGCAAACCUCAACGUCAAACAAAAAAUGUGGUCUUUAGAGAGAUUUUUGACAAUUUAUGAUUUCAGACAAUUUGUUUUGUUUUUUAUAACUUUGUUGGAACGUGGAUUUAUAUACGGUUUAUGGUUCUAUGUUUAGCUACUGUUUUAUAUUAAUAAGUCUCUCUUAUAAUAUUAUUGAAACUUUUGGAAAAGUUCGAUACAUGAAGAGAUUAAAAUAUUUUUGCUUUGUGAUGAGGAAAGAUGAUUCUUGAUGAGGUUCUAGAAAUCCCCAGGAACAAACAAAGAAUGUUUCAAGCUAUAUGUGUUGUAUAAGACAACAUCUACAAGAGAAUUUGAACUUUACUAAAAGUUCUUAAGGAAUACGGUAAUCAAUAUAUUUUCCACUAUUUCACAUAAUAACAAACAAAUCAAUCAAACUCCGGUUCCCAUCCUAACUACCGAUAAUCACAUCCAAUCCUAAAUUCUAGAACAUUAUAAAUGAGGAAUAUUAACUUACUGAUUAAAUGCACUGAAGAAAGUUGUGUUAAUAGUCGCUGUCAUCAAUUUGCUUCUUAAUUUCCAUUUGGAUGUACCAUGUACUACGCAUAUUGUCCUGCCAAAAGAACACAGUAUAACAGUAAGUUACUAUAUAUUUAAAUUCUGGUAUAGUAUAAAAAGAUACUUAUCUUUUUGGGUGGUAGUAUUAGUUCAUGUUCAAUCCCUUCCUAUCUGCAAGCCGAAUCACACUAUCAAAAUUCCUUACUCAUUCAACCACCUAGAAACUGCAACUAAAGCAAAUCACUUAAUAUUGAGUUACUUAUUGUCUAAUACAAAGCAAUCUUAUACUAUUAAGAAAUUUUAGAUAAGGGGUUUAUAAGAAUUAUCAGGCUUUUUUAUCUUCUUAGCAUUAUUAACCUUUCUUUGUAAGACGCAAGUGUAAUGCUACACUUUUUAUAAACUUAUUUCUUCAGCUAUUUGUAUCACCACGGAGCAGCACCACCAUUACAUCUGAACUUAGAUUACAUGUCUGAUUUAACUGCAAAAAACAACAACAAAACAUGGCGAUGGUAACCAUAUAUUAUCCUAAAUGACUUUCUAAAAUUUAGUCAAAAGCUUCUGUGAAAUCAGAGAGUUUAUCAAAUAUUAUAUGAAAAGCUUUGAUAAUGGUUACCUUUGUUCGAUUCUUCAGAUGUGUUAAAGUCCCCAACAUUUGAUACGGUUGAUAUUUUUCUGUGACAUAAUUUCAGAUCUAAGAAACUUUUCAUCUGUGAAAACUAAGCCUUUUACAUAAGGAUCUGUGACAAAAAAAAAAACAAAACUUCAACUCUUCGUAAGAGAAAUCAAAACAAACUAAUUACUAAUCAAUACCAUUCGAUUUCUUAUUUCUGAAGUUGUCUUUCUCAAAUAUAUGUUGUAUAACUUUGAAUAGCACCAUCGAUUUCAAUCUUCAUCUCAUCGAUUGUUCGUCGGCCAAGAAGAGACGACCGUUUCUAGAUCUCUCCUUUUUUUUCCCCUUUCCUUUUCUAUUUUUUUUUUGAACUUGGAAAUUAAUAAACGUUACUUUUGAUAAGUGGCCGAAUAGUCAAUGGUUAGAUUUAAAAGGCCCAAUUCGUUUAAAAUGAACUUAAUUAAAAAUUUAAGAGGCCCAAUUCGUUUAAAUGGUUAGAAUAAUAACAAACUAAACUUAAUUAAAAAUUAAUUUUAUCUAUAUUAUUUCGUUAGUUCAAUAAUUAUUUCAUUAAUUCAAGAAAGUAUAUAUUUAAAAUUAGAAUGUAAUAAAUAUCCACUAAUUUUAAAAAUUCAUAAAAUUAAAAUUUGUGUAAUUAAUUAUAAAAUUAAUUAUAGAAGACUUAUUAAUUUUGAUGUAAUAGCAUUAUUUUAGUUUCACCAACAACGCAUAUAAAAAACACAUUAUAAAAUAAUUUAUAAAAUGUAUAUAUGUAAUUUUUUUUAAAUGGACAAUCCCGCGCUUUGAAAGCGCGGAUCAAAAUCUAGUUUGACUAUUAAAGUUAAUGUCCACAUGUUAGCAAAAAAAAAAAAAAAAAUUAAUGGCCACAAAAGACAACAAUACACAAGACAAUAAACAAUGCUUACACAGAUGAGAGAGCCGUUAACACAAAACCUAGAAUAAUCCAACCCAAUCGAAUGAAAGUGAUAACGGUCUUUCCAAUUCUGAAAUCUCAAGAAAUUAAGAAGAGCUUACAAUGUGUUUGAAUUGAUGGGUAUCCAUAUUUGUUCAGAGACAGUCCGUGUAAUGCUUCACUCUACAACCACAUUAAUAAGAAAGUUAUGAUUCUCUCCGGUGACGGAGUUGUCAAUUCGGUGAGGAAGACACCGAAUAUAGUGAUAUGAUUGAGACAAAAAAAAAGAAAACAAAAAAAAAAGAAAUCUGGAGAGAGGUAACGAGAGUGAGCUGUCUCUUUAAAGGGUAUUUUGGUUAUUGAAUAAGAAGAGUAUGUGUGUCAAGUGAGAAAUGCGUUAUUGUAUAUUACAAAGUCAGAAAAAACUCUCCGACGAAAGGUAAACGCUUCUUCGACUUUUCUCUCCGCUCAUACUCACAAUAUCAUCUAUUUCUCAUUUUGAUUGAAGUUUAAUUGCAGAUAAUUUAUCAAUUGAACUGAAGAAACCAAGUGUUUGUAUUGGAGAUAACAGAGUCCUUGUCCACGUUUUAUGGUAUAAUUUUAGUAACAUGAGUUCAUGUCCACGUAUUGUUGUAUAGUUUUAUGGAAUCAAAACAGAGAGUUUGUCCACGUUAUCUACUAUAAACACAUUAACAUCACUCAUCCACACAUCACCC
RNAcentral lists this long non-coding RNA (13187 nucleotides) under Brassica napus (rape). Its description in RNAcentral is "long non-coding RNA (BNAP_LNC023034)". The record is from RNAcentral. Lineage: Eukaryota; Viridiplantae; Streptophyta; Magnoliopsida; Brassicales; Brassicaceae.